Non-coding RNA from Maylandia zebra (zebra mbuna), 755 nucleotides. The record is from RefSeq and is a predicted model, not a curated record. NCBI's taxonomy places the organism in Eukaryota, Metazoa, Chordata, Actinopteri, Cichliformes, Cichlidae.
CUGUGUACAGAAGGUUCUCUGAUGAAGCACACAGCAGAUGCUGCACUACAACAGCAGCAGCAGCUCAGCUUCAGUUUGCUUCGACGCCCUUUUUGACCUGUGAAACAGCAGAAAAUGAAACAUUUCAACACCCGUUUGUUAGCGUGAGCUAUUCUGCUGUUUUUCAUCAUUUCACAGGUGAAAUAAAAUCACAUUUACUUCCUGUAGGAGUGAUCGUGUCCAGCCUGACUGAGACCAUGUGCUCCAUCCUGCACAGAAAAUGUCACAUGUUCAAAGCCAUCCCAGCACCUGGGGUUUGUAUAAGUGCAGCUGCUGGUGGGGAGAUAGUCUCACUCUUCUAUAUAAAGAGUCAGCAGGCAGCAGAUCUUCAUCUGUGAUCUCCUCCAUCAUCACGUCUUCACUCUUCAGCAGCUAUGGCUUCACUUCGUGCCCUUCUGGGAGUGGUGCUGUGCUCCUCAUGGUUUCUGCUUCUGCCUCAGGCCGACUUUGAUUUACAGAGUCAUCCAUAAUAUUUUUUAUUUUUUAUUUUACUGCCCAUCUAUUUUCAUACAAAUGUCUCCGUCUUAUGGAAAAGGGGUGGAGCUUAUCCAACGAGGACAGGCAGGGCCCCCCAGACAGUUUAGCAGUCUAUACAGGAGGCUGACCUUUGCAACAUGUACUUCUAUAAUGACUUCACCAUUUAGGUUAUUUGGUUAUGUUUCACCCUGGAUUUUGUGUGAUAAUAUUUAUUUUGUCCACUGAUUUAAAAACAACAA